Long non-coding RNA from Oncorhynchus kisutch (coho salmon), 1467 nucleotides. RefSeq lists it as uncharacterized. Lineage: Eukaryota; Metazoa; Chordata; Actinopteri; Salmoniformes; Salmonidae. The record is from RefSeq and is a predicted model, not a curated record. The transcript has 3 exons.
GCCACAGGAGUCGCUGGUGUGCGAUGAGGGCGCGAACCCAGAGUCUCUGGUGCCACAGCUGGCGCUGCAGUACAGCGCCCUUAGCCACUGCGCCACCCAAGCCAACAUUUUAAGUAAACAAUAAGCAACAAACGUUCCAUACAGCCUCUUAAACAGUAUGUUUUGAAAAACCUUUCAGAUUGAUAUGAAAUAUAGUGUAAUGCCUGAUGACACACUGUCUCCAGAGGCAGGCCCAGAAGACAGAAAAUCAGAUUCAGGAGGACUUUGAGAAACGUCACCAGUUUCUACGAUAUGAAGAGGCAGCCAGGAUGGCUGUCCUGAGGGAGGAAGAGGAGGAUGAAGAUGAUUGACGAUGAACAGCGAGAGAGCAGCCAUUUUAGACACAACGAGAGCCAUAAAGAAGGACCUGGUAUCUGAUGACAUCUCAUUCCUGCAGAACUACAAGGACACGUUAAAGGUAAGGCUACGGCCUAUUUGUCCGCAACACUUCAGGUGAAGGGUGAAGAAUCUGGACCCUAAGUGAUCGGCCUCUUCUCUCUCUCUUCCCUGUGGUUCUGAACCCAACCCCACCAUAUCACUAACUCAUGGAUAUUCUUCUAGAGCCCAGUGCACAAGCCCAGAUCCAGAGCUUGUUUCUGGAGCGCUGAUCAAUGUGGCAAAGCACCUGGGAAACCUGCAGGUCAGAGUGUUGGAGAAGAUGCUGAAGUCUGUUCAAUACAUGCCUGUGAUUCUGGACACCAACACUGUCCAUCCAUGUCUCAUCCUGUCUGACGAUCUGACCAGUAUGAGAUUCAGUGAUGGGAUACGGCUGCUUCCUGACAACGCAGAGAGGUUUGAUAACUAUCGAAUGGUCCUGGGCUCUGAGGGCUUUGAUUCUGGGACAUACAGUUGGGAUACAGACGUCAGGGACAAUACAGUAUGGUUUGUAGGUGUAGUCUAUAAGUCUGUCCAGAGGAAGGGAGUGGUACAGACUGGACUCUGGCGUGUAGGCUAUUAUAAUGAUAAAUACUGGGCACAUUGUCCAAAAGGGCCACAGACUGUCCUGACACUGGAAAAUAAAUCCCAUCGGAUCAGAGUGCAGCUGGACUGGAACAGAGAUACACUGUCCUUUUACAACCUUGAUAAUCAUACACACGUUCACACACACUUUUACAGAGAGAUUGUUUCCAUACAUCAACAUUGGCAGUAAUCUCUACGCUGCUAGGAUCUUACCAGGGAAAGCCUCUGUAACAGUGGAACAGCACAUUAUACCUCCCCAUGCUAGCCCUUCCUUUUAACUUGAUCAGUUGAUGUGGUUCGCUGACGCAACGGAAGCCACCACUACCUCCUUGUUUUAGAUUUGUUCGACAGGAUUCAAUUAUGAAUUGUAUUAUCAUAUGAAUUAUGUUAACAAACUACUGGAUUGAACCAAAUCACACAUUUUUGCUGAUCUAAUAAAAACAAUUGAUUCAACAAUUCAACUGUCAA